This 253-nucleotide ribosomal RNA is filed under the name uncultured bacterium. RNAcentral's name for it is "partial 16S ribosomal RNA". It matches the Rfam family "Bacterial small subunit ribosomal RNA", at positions 524 to 776 of the family's 1533-position model. The record is from RNAcentral.
UACGUAGGGUGCAAGCGUUAAUCGGAAUUACUGGGCGUAAAGCGUGCGCAGGCGGUUAUUUAAGACAGAUGUGAAAUCCCCGGGCUCAACCUGGGAACUGCAUUUGUGACUGUAUAGCUAGAGUACGGUAGAGGGGGAUGGAAUUCCGCGUGUAGCAGUGAAAUGCGUAGAUAUGCGGAGGAACACCGAUGGCGAAGGCAAUCCCCUGGACCUGUACUGACGCUCAUGCACGAAAGCGUGGGGAGCAAACAGG